Molecule: unclassified non-coding RNA, 2612 nt
Filed under: Drosophila pseudoobscura pseudoobscura
Lineage: Eukaryota; Metazoa; Arthropoda; Insecta; Diptera; Drosophilidae
Description: GA22510
Source: RNAcentral
GUAUGGGCACAGUGUCCCGUUUGUGGAUGAUAAGCGCAGCGUCUCUACACCGCCAAGGACUACACUACCGACUACCGGCAGAAGUUCAAAGGACAUCGGACCGUAAGGUUGUGUGACUCCGCGUUUCUAACUUCAAUAAAUCCGUUCGCCAAAGUUGUUGUGGUCGCGAUAAACUGUAAAUUUGAUUGACAACAACGCUAUGAACUACAAAAUAAAAAUACCGACCCCGAAAAAUUAAAACAAUAAAGUGGCGACAAGUACAACAGAAGUUCUGACUUCACUUUAAUAGUCUUUCAGUGCAUUGAUUCAUAUGCAUAUGAGUGAAUAUUGUUGUGCUGGAUGGAUUUGCCUUCGGAUGUUUAAUUCAUAGCACCAAUCUUAUCCAGUCCAGUGCAGUCUACGUCUACCUAACCUUACCAGAUUCCAUUGUGUAGAUAACCAAGCCAGUUAAGCCAAACCCACACCAAUCCGACAACUAACAUAGAAAAACGUGCGCGAUUCAAAAAUCAAACAAAAACCAACAAAAUUAAGAAUUAACAGAGAGCUGUGUUGUAUUCGUUCCGUUUUGUUUCGUUUUACGAUCGGCUGUCUAGAUCGGUCUGAUAGUUUACACAAUGACACUUGACUAUGAAGAGGAGCACGAUCUUCAGCUAUCCCGGUCGAGUAGCGCAGCCGCGAUCAGUGAACGCACCCUUGAAGAAUGUUGGUCAACCCUGCAACGACUUUUUAUGCACAAAAGCGCUAUGCAGCAAAUACAACAACAAAUUCCUCGCGUUGGACUGGCGACGCACGGAGUUACCGGCACGCCUAGCUUGGGUGGCAAUGCUACACCCGGAACGGACACCAAGCCACAUCAGUGCCAACAGUGCAUGAAGAGUUUUUCCAGCAAUCACCAGCUCGUGCAGCACAUUCGUGUCCACACUGGAGAAAAGCCGUACAAAUGCUCUUACUGUGAUCGUAGAUUUAAGCAGCUGUCCCAUGUCCAACAGCACACGCGCUUGCACACAGGAGAACGCCCUUACAAGUGCCACCUGCCCGACUGUGGGCGAGCCUUCAUACAGCUCUCCAAUCUGCAGCAACAUCUCCGAAAUCAUGACGCCCAAGUGGAGCGAGCCAAGAAUCGUCCAUUUCACUGUAAUAUUUGUGGAAAGGGAUUCGCCACUGAGUCCAGUCUGCGGACGCACACAUCCAAAGAGCUACAGCUGCAUCUUGGUGUCUUGCAGCAGCAUGCGGCACUCAUCGGUGGUCCCAAUGCAACAUCCUGCCCGGUAUGCCAUAAGCUCUUUCUUGGUACCGAAGCACUCAUGGACCAUAUGAAACACGUCCAUGAAGAAAAGAGCCCACCUUCAAGUGGAACAGCUGCAACCCACUUUAGUGAGAUCAUCAAUUGUGCGAGUGGCAACGGAAAUGACAAUGUAUCUGGGGGCGGGCCAAUACCAAUUGGCUCACAAUGUACAUCCGAAUCCACCUGUGCAAGGAUACCUACACAUCCCCCAACUGGGAGUGGACCAAACCUCAGCGACAGCUACCUGGGAAAAAGAAGAACUGCCAAUCAUCCAUGUCCAGUCUGUGGCAAGCAUUACGUCAACGAAGGAUCUCUGCGAAAGCAUCUGGCUUGUCACGCCGAGACCUCCCAGCUCCCAAAUAGCCUCCGCAUGUGGCCCUGUAGUGUGUGCCAGGCUGUUUUCACACAUGAAAAUGGCCUGCUUACCCAUAUGGAGUCGAUGCGUAUGGAUCCUAAGCACCAGUUCGCGGCUCAAUACGUCUUGUCCCGAGCGGCAGCAGAGCAACGAGAGCGAGAGAGCAUACUAGCGGCCACUAUAGCUGCCGGCAGUGGUGCUGCCAGUGGAAUCGGAGUUGGAGAGGCGAGAAAUGUGCUGCCUAUGGGUGUGACAAACUCAGGGGGAUCCAACUCAAAGUGCCCGUCACCAUCAGCAAACUCGGAAUGUUCGUCGAACGGGCGGCUUUCAUCGUCAUCAACUUCCGAUCAAGAUCAAGAACAUGAUCACGAUCACGGCCUAAGUGAAACUGAGAACAGUAGCCACAACAAUAUUAGCAACACCAAUAACAACACCCUGUGCGCGAAUAACAACAGCUGCAAUUCCAGCAAAAUGAACGAGCUGCGUCUUCCAAAUUCGAGUCAAUACAAUAUGGAUACCGGGCUGCACGUUGCCAAUCGAAUGUCACUAAUGGCAGCAGCAGCCGCAGCUGUAGCAGCAUCCCGACCACCACAGGAUGGGAUUGACUGUUCGAAUGUUCCCAGUGCGGCCGUCCAAGCUGCUGUGGUUAAUCUUGCCGCUGCUAUGCGUAUGAACAAUCCCAACAAUGGUUCUACUGCACUUGUAAGCCACUCCGCGCAUCCCCAUUCCAUCCAGCACCAACAGCAUGUAAGAGAUGGUAACUGAAAUAAGAGAUUAACGAAGCUGGCAUGCCAUUGCAGUCAUUGCAUACGAGUAGUCGAAAUGUGAAAAUCAAGUAUUAAAAUCUUAAAAUUGUGACUUUCGCUCAUCUCUUUUUUCACUCGGCGAACAUCCUUUACCCCACCAUCAGCACCCUCAUAAUCUUCAGCAACAGCAGACACCACAGCACCAUCAACAGCAGUUGUCACAUUU